Molecule: ribosomal RNA, 445 nt
Filed under: uncultured bacterium
Lineage: Bacteria
Description: bacterial SSU rRNA
Rfam family: Bacterial small subunit ribosomal RNA
Source: RNAcentral
AACGGGGUGAGGAGUCUUGCUCCUCAUCUAGUGGCGAACGGGUGAGUAAUACAUCGGAACGUACCGUGUAGUGGGGAUAACGUAGCGAAAGUUACGCUAAUACCGCAUACGAUCCACGGAUGAAAGCAGGGGACCUUCGGGCCUUGUGCUAUACGAGCGGCCGAUGUCUGAUUAGCUAGUUGGUGGGGUAAAGGCCCACCAAGGCAACGAUCAGUAGCGGGUCUGAGAGGAUGAUCCGCCACACUGGGACUGAGACACGGCCCAGACUCCUACGGGAGGCAGCAGUGGGGAAUUUUGGACAAUGGGCGCAAGCCUGAUCCAGCCAUGCCGCGUGUCUGAAGAAGGCCUUCGGGUUGUAAAGGACUUUUGUCAGGGAGCAAAACCCAGCAGCUAAUAUCUGUUGGGGAUGAGAGUACCUGAAGAAUAAGCACCGGCUAACUACGUG